RNAcentral lists this ribosomal RNA (598 nucleotides) under Haemophilus influenzae. RNAcentral describes it as "bacterial SSU rRNA". It matches the Rfam family "Bacterial small subunit ribosomal RNA", at positions 88 to 682 of the family's 1533-position model. Lineage: Bacteria; Pseudomonadati; Pseudomonadota; Gammaproteobacteria; Pasteurellales; Pasteurellaceae. The record is from RNAcentral.
CUGACGAGUGGCGGACGGGUGAGUAAUGCUUGGGAAUCUGGCUUAUGGAGGGGGAUAACGACGGGAAACUGUCGCUAAUACCGCGUAUUAUCGGAAGAUGAAAGUGCGGGACUGAGAGGCCGCAUGCCAUAGGAUGAGCCCAAGUGGGAUUAGGUAGUUGGUGGGGUAAAGGCCUACCAAGCCAGCGAUCUCUAGCUGGUCUGAGAGGAUGACCAGCCACACUGGAACUGAGACACGGUCCAGACUCCUACGGGAGGCAGCAGUGGGGAAUAUUGCGCAAUGGGGGGAACCCUGACGCAGCCAUGCCGCGUGAAUGAAGAAGGCCUUCGGGUUGUAAAGUUCUUUCGGUAUUGAGGAAGGUUGAUGUGUUAAUAGCACAUCAAAUUGACGUUAAAUACAGAAGAAGCACCGGCUAACUCCGUGCCAGCAGCCGCGGUAAUACGGAGGGUGCGAGCGUUAAUCGGAAUAACUGGGCGUAAAGGGCACGCAGGCGGUUAUUUAAGUGAGGUGUGAAAGCCCUGGGCUUAACCUAGGAAUUGCAUUUCAGACUGGGUAACUAGAGUACUUUAGGGAGGGGUAGAAUUCCACGUGUAGCGGU